UUUAUUUGCAUCUGUCAACCUUCAUGAAGGAGGACAUCUUGUAAUAUAUUUGGCAACUGCUUAAUGGGAUCAAAUGGAAAGAAAUCGCAGAGGGAUUUCUCACAUAUACAAAUUUUCCUAAUUGCUUGGGUGCAAUUGAUGGAAAACAUAUAAGAGUGAUUCGGCCGCCGCACAGUGGAUCACUAUAUUUUAAUUAUAAGAAAUAUUAUUCUGUAGUGCUCCUCGCAAUGUGUGAUGCUGAUUAUAAUUUUACAUAUAUUAAUGUCGGUACCAGUGGAAGCAACGCCGAUUCAACCAUCUUUAGAAGGAGUCAAUUGUAUACGAAACUGGAAAGUAACACGUUGGGUAUCCCUGACCCGCAAGAGUUGCCUAUUAUUUGCCCCGAAGUAGCUUAUCCAUCUAGUGUAAGAGCAAAGUUGCCGUUCGUGAUAGUGGGAGACGAGGCAUUUGGUUUAUCAUCACAUGUGAUGCGGCCUUAUGCUCGUGAUAAUUUACCUUACAAAAAGAAAAUAUUUAAUUACCGUCUGUCCAGAGCUAGAAGGUACAUAGAAUGCACUUUUGGAAUUAUGUCAAAUAAAUUUA
Molecule: long non-coding RNA, 582 nt
Organism: Melitaea cinxia (Glanville fritillary)
Lineage: Eukaryota; Metazoa; Arthropoda; Insecta; Lepidoptera; Nymphalidae
Exons: 3
Source: RefSeq, a predicted model, not a curated record